GACGAACGCUGGCGGCGCGCUUAACACAUGCAAGUCGAACGGAAAGGCCUCUUUCGGGGGGUACUCGAGUGGCGAACGGGUGAGUAACACGUGAGUAACCUGCCCUUGACUUUGGGAUAACUUCAGGAAACUGGGGCUAAUACCGGAUAGGAGCUCCUGCUGCAUGGUGGGGGUUGGAAAGUUUCGGCGGUUGGGGAUGGACUCGCGGCUUAUCAGCUUGUUGGUGGGGUAGUGGCUUACCAAGGCUUUGACGGGUAGCCGGCCUGAGAGGGUGACCGGCCACAUUGGGACUGAGAUACGGCCCAGACUCCUACGGGAGGCAGCAGUGGGGAAUAUUGCACAAUGGGUGGAAGCCCGAUGCAGCAACGCCGUGUGCGGGAUGACGGCCUUCGGGUUGUAAACCGCUUUCGCUCAUGACGAAGCUUUGUGUGACGGUAGUGGGUAAAGAAGCACCGGCUAACUACGUG
This 467-nucleotide ribosomal RNA is filed under the name uncultured bacterium. RNAcentral describes it as "partial 16S ribosomal RNA". It matches the Rfam family "Bacterial small subunit ribosomal RNA", at positions 28 to 507 of the family's 1533-position model. The record is from RNAcentral.